CAUAAUGCGGAUUUGUCUGGAACAAAUUUACUGCAAUUGACUUUUCAGAGUGUAAACCGAAAAGACCUUGAAACAGAAACCUCUGAACCGUUAGAUACUGAUCAUGAAGCACUCUGUCUUCUGCGUUGUCAUGCUAGCCGUUCUUCUUUCGACAAACAUCUUCCACAUGGUGGAAUGUUCUUAUCUAAGGUUCGGUCGAUCAGUGACGAAGAGAAAACUUCAAGAUCGAAACAGGAUCCAGGCUGAAACCGAGAAUGCAAAAACGCUGAACAACCAACGGAAAAUCAGAACCGAAGUUCUGGACAACGACGACUACUGGGAAAAAUACAACAACUGAAGAUGAGGAGUGCAAAUUUCCCUCCAGAACAAGAGCUAACUUUUUUCUUUUCGUUAAAGUAGUGGUGUCCAAAAUAUACGAAUAAAGAUAACUC
Molecule: long non-coding RNA, 431 nt
Organism: Pocillopora verrucosa
Lineage: Eukaryota; Metazoa; Cnidaria; Anthozoa; Scleractinia; Pocilloporidae
Source: RefSeq, a predicted model, not a curated record